Molecule: long non-coding RNA, 2969 nt
Organism: Apus apus (common swift)
Lineage: Eukaryota; Metazoa; Chordata; Aves; Apodiformes; Apodidae
Exons: 5
Source: RefSeq, a predicted model, not a curated record
ACUCUGGAAACAAAGGACAUGAGCCACUUUGCAGAAUUUACAGUGGUUUUAUGGAUUACAUUUCAAAUUAGAAGAAAUCUGCCCUGGGAUGGGCCUGCUGGCAAAGCUGGGGGCUCCUCCACCAGUGGUGAAGUAACCAAAGCUGGAAGCAAUUCCUGAAGUAUUCAUGGGCUGGUGGCUCACAGGGACUUUGCUGUGAGACAUCAGACUCUAAUCAGUGAGUUCUGGAGAUGCACGUGGCCACAUGGACCAUCUGGAACAGGGUCUGUUGGUAGGAGCUCGUCUGUCCCCCACCACGUUGAUGGUCCCCUCUGCUGGAGAGGAGGCAGCACCUGCUGGAUGGUUUGUUCCCAGAGGAGGUGUGGGAUGAAGCCCAGGCUGGGGAGCCUCCCCGUGGAAGCAGGGAUGUGGUUUCUGGAGGAGCAGCAGCUGAUGGUUGGCACACCCAGCAGCUCUGGAGCUCCCCACCAGCACCUGGGCCACGGCCCAGCUGUGGCCAUAGGGUGGCUGUUGGGUGUCUGAUGAGGGGACACCACAGGGAAAGGUGGAAGAAAGACAGUCGGGUGAGUCCUGGAUCUGCCCCCAGGAUCACAGCCACGUGUUUUGGAUCGGGUGAAGAUGAAGAUCUUCGUUUUGGCAUUUCUUGUGUGUUCUGCAGCCAGAGCCCAGCCCGUGUCAGCUCUGCCUGGCAGCCUGGGAAGCCUGCUGUGCUGGGCUGUGUUUUUAGGUCGUUUCCAGAGAAGUGGAUUCAUUUCCAGGGAAGCAGCUGCCUGCCUGGGCGCUCUGCUGUGCCCUGGAGGGGAUGAAGGGCAGUUCCCACCUCACAUCCAUUUACUGCUGGAGGUUUUGACCUUGCUCCCCUGUUUGUCACUGCUUGAUUUAUCUUCACUGACACUUGGACUCUGACCCUACCAAGAACAUUAUCAGACUGUCUCUGGAUUUCAGUGGCCAAAUGCUUAAAAGAAGGGCCCUCAGCAAGGGCUUCCUCUGCCUGACACAAAAUAAAGACCAAGCUGCACUGAAACGACUCAUCCCACCCCAAUCCCUCUCCUCAGGAGGUCUCAGCCCUCCCUGGAGCCACCUGGUUCAUUAGAAAUUUGGUUUCUGAAUGUGUUAGCAAUGCAGACCUUGUGUUCCACAGGCAUGUGGGGGCAUUGUGGACUGAAUGUGUAAAUUAUAUCUUACUAAGUUAUUCUUCUGAGCUUGUCAGUGUUUUUGAAGGAGGUUUGAAACGGGCCGGUUUUGUCUCCCACCAUUGGGUCCUCCCUUCACUAACUGCAACUCCAAGUAGAUUUUUUUGGCCUAAAAUACAGUAUUAUUCCAUGGUCAGAUAUUAUUUAGAAAAUAUUUAUUAAGUAACAUCUGCUGCACUGAAACAUUAAAUUAAGAGGGAGAAACAGGUGUUUAAAGAAAACAGAUACUGGGGAAAAAAAUCUUUGACAAUACCUAUUUUAAUUCAGAUUUCAAAUUUAAAUUUCCUUAAAGUUGUUGGCAGGAUUAAUUUCUCCUUUGUACACGUAACAUACAUAUUCAUCAAUGCCAUUACACCAUGUUUGCAAGCUGAAUAUUACAGUGGAAUGCAGCAAAAGCCAAAUUUUAGAUAUGAAACUGGAGGAGACCCCAUUUCAUACUGCAUAAAAUGCACCUCUGGAAUUUUCAGUUCUUCUUUUCUGCAGUGCUACACACGCCUUCAGCAAGUGUCAGGGCUGAUGAGCUUAAAAGAAAAAAAAAAAAGAGAGAAAAGAAAAAAAAACAACCCAACCCUGUGGCUUUGGAGAUACUCACUUCAAGCUUGUGGUUGCAAUUUCCCAGGCUGCUCCGAGAUUCCCUACAGCCUUCCAACUCGGGAAUCUCCAGCCACACAGGGAUGUGUGAAUUCCCCCCUUGGCUUCACUCCCUCCCAGCUCCUGUCCUGCCUGCAAAGCAUCCUGUGCCUGCUCCUGUGCCCGUGGGUGCCCCCCAAGGAGCCUGUACCUGAAGUGGUGUCGAUCUCCCCGUCCUGCUCCUUGCAGCUGUAGGUGCUGCCCAUGCUCUGCGAGCCCGGCUCGUUGGUGAGGAAGCCUUUGCCCCCAACACUGGUGGUGUGCCAGUCCUGGGCGGGCUCCAGCUGCCAGGGAACAAGGAGAUGAUGGUUAAAACCCCUCCCUUCCUCCUCCCAGGGCAACAUUUCAUUCCUCUCUCUUCGUUAGGAGACAGGCUUCCUCAUUAAAGAAGGCUCCUGGAUUGCACAAGUGUAUGUUCAGCUCAUCUAGGACUGGAUCAAAUAGCUGCUUCCCUUCCUCUCUUGGUGCAAACAGCAGCUUUGGCCAAUGUGAUUCUGACCAGAAGGGCUGGUUUUACCUUAAAUAUCUCUGAAUUAAUUUCCUCUUCAUCUUCGUCUGUGACUGUUUUGUAGACUUUGGUGGAGAAUCUCUUUUGAAAGUUGCCCAAAAGAUCCUGCAGGAAUCCUGAGAAAAAUGGCCCAGCUUCAGGAUCCUCUGGGGAUGGCUAUGGAAACUUCCAAGAAAGAGACCUGGGUCACUAAGCCUAGUGAUCCUGCCCUGUGCUGCACGUACAGGGAUGUGCCUUCCCCACCAAAAAGAGACAAAUCCAGAGUUUCUUUCAGGCCAAAUCUUAAAAAACUGGGAGCAACUGGGAGUGCAGCAGUAGCUACCCAACUGGGACAGGAGGUGACAUGGCUCAAGUGAGCAGCAGGAGUUAAAAGAGAACUUGGAGUUAUCUUGGUUCUCCAUCAUGUCCAGGCUGCUUUAAUUUAUCGUUUCCCUCGUACAAGGUUUCCCAGGAAAACAAAAUUGGAACCACUACAUUCUGUACCAACCAGGGGUACCUUUCCUGGAAGCAAAACCAGCUGGUUUUUAAACCAGGUUUUGCCUUUCCUUUAUGAUCUUGACUCACAUUUGGUGUCAUCUAAGAACUGGUUCAUGAUACAGAAGUCACAGUAAUAAUGAUAAUAAUAGUAAUAAACCACC